GACGAACGCUGGCGGCGUGCCUAAUACAUGCAAGUCGAACGCAGUGGGGACGGGUGAGUAACACGUGGGUAACCUCCCAUCAGAGGGGAUAACACUUGGAAACAGGUGCUAAACCGAUAUUGAUGGUUGGACCCGCGGUGCAUUAGUUAGUUGGUGAGGUAACGGCUCACCAAGGCCACGAUGAAUAGACGACCUGAGAGAGUGAUCGGCCAAACGGGGACUGAGACACGGCCCAGAGUCCUACGGGAGGAAGCAGGAGGGAAUCUUCGGCAAUAGACGAAAGUCGGACCGAGCAACGCCGCGUGAGUGAAGAAGGUUUUCGGAUCGUAAAACUCUGUUGUUAGAGAAGCGGUAUCUAACCAGAAAGCCACGGCUAACUACGUGCCAGCAGCCGCGGUAAUAC
Molecule: ribosomal RNA, 403 nt
Filed under: uncultured bacterium
Lineage: Bacteria
Description: partial 16S ribosomal RNA
Rfam family: Bacterial small subunit ribosomal RNA
Source: RNAcentral